RNAcentral lists this ribosomal RNA (253 nucleotides) under uncultured bacterium. Its description in RNAcentral is "partial 16S ribosomal RNA". It matches the Rfam family "Bacterial small subunit ribosomal RNA", at positions 524 to 776 of the family's 1533-position model. The record is from RNAcentral.
UACGUAGGGUGCGAGCGUUAAUCGGAAUUACUGGGCGUAAAGGGUUCGUAGGUGGCCAACUAAGUCAGACGUGAAAUCCCUCAGCUUAACUGGGGAACUGCGUCUGAGACUGGAUGGCUUGAGUGCAGGAGAGGAACGCGGAAUUCCUGGUGUAGCGGUGAAAUGCGUAGAGAUCAGGAAGAACAUCGGUGGCGAAGGCGCUCUGCUGGACCAUAACUGACACUCAGGGACGAAAGCUAGGGGAGCGAAUGGG